AUUGAACGCUGGCGGCAUGCCUUACACAUGCAAGUCGAACGGUAACGGGCCUUCGGGUGCCGACGAGUGGCGAACGGGUGAGUAAUACAUCGGAACGUGCCCGAUCGUGGGGGAUAACGAGGCGAAAGCUUUGCUAAUACCGCAUACGAUCUACGGAUGAAAGCAGGGGACCGCAAGGCCUUGCGCGGACGGAGCGGCCGAUGGCAGAUUAGGUAGUUGGUGGGAUAAAAGCUUACCAAGCCGACGAUCUGUAGCUGGUCUGAGAGGAUGAUCAGCCACAAUGAGACUGAGAAACGGCCCAGACCCCGACGGGAGGCAGCGGUGGGGAAUUUGGGAAAAAGGGCGCAAGCCUGACCCAACCAUGCCGGGUGCAGGAAGAAGGCCUUGGGGUUGAAAACUGGUUUUGUGGGGAACAAAAACCCUUCUUUUAAUAAAGGGGGGUAGUAGGGGUACCGAAAGAAGAAGCACCGGCUAACUACGG
This 481-nucleotide ribosomal RNA is filed under the name uncultured bacterium. RNAcentral describes it as "partial 16S ribosomal RNA". It matches the Rfam family "Bacterial small subunit ribosomal RNA", at positions 29 to 506 of the family's 1533-position model. The record is from RNAcentral.